GACGAACGCUGGCGGCGUGCCUAAUACAUGCAAGUAGAACGCUGAAGAAGAGGAGCUUGCUCUUCUUGGAUGAGUUGCGAACGGGUGAGUAACGCGUAGGUAACCUGCCUUGUAGCGGGGGAUAACUAUUGGAAACGAUAGCUAAUACCGCAUAACAAUGGAUGACACAUGUCAUUUAUUUGAAAGGGGCAAUUGCUCCACUACAAGAUGGACCUGCGUUGUAUUAGCUAGUAGGUGAGGUAACGGCUCACCUAGGCGACGAUACAUAGCCGACCUGAGAGGGUGAUCGGCCACACUGGGACUGAGACACGGCCCAGACUCCUACGGGAGGCAGCAGUAGGGAAUCUUCGGCAAUGGGGGCAACCCUGACCGAGCAACGCCGCGUGAGUGAAGAAGGUUUUCGGAUCGUAAAGCUCUGUUGUAAGUCAAGAACGAGUGUGAGAGUGGAAAGUUCACACUGUGACGGUAGCUUACCAGAAAGGGACGGCUAACUACGUGCCAGCAGCCGCGGUAAUACGUAGGUCCCGAGCGUUGUCCGGAUUUAUUGGGCGUAAAGCGAGCGCAGGCGGUUUGAUAAGUCUGAAGUUAAAGGCUGUGGCUCAACCAUAGUUCGCUUUGGAAACUGUCAAACUUGAGUGCAGAAGGGGAGAGUGGAAUUCCAUGUGUAGCGGUGAAAUGCGUAGAUAUAUGGAGGAACACCGGUGGCGAAAGCGGCUCUCUGGUCUGUAACUGACGCUGAGGCUCGAAAGCGUGGGGAGCGAACAGGAUUAGAUACCCUGGUAGUCCACGCCGUAAACGAUGAGUGCUAGGUGUUGGAUCCUUUCCGGGAUUCAGUGCCGCAGCUAACGCAUUAAGCACUCCGCCUGGGGAGUACGACCGCAAGGUUGAAACUCAAAGGAAUUGACGGGGGCCCGCACAAGCGGUGGAGCAUGUGGUUUAAUUCGAAGCAACGCGAAGAACCUUACCAGGUCUUGACAUCCCGAUGCUAUUUCUAGAGAUAGAAAGUUACUUCGGUACAUCGGUGACAGGUGGUGCAUGGUUGUCGUCAGCUCGUGUCGUGAGAUGUUGGGUUAAGUCCCGCAACGAGCGCAACCCCUAUUGUUAGUUGCCAUCAUUCAGUUGGGCACUCUAGCGAGACUGCCGGUAAUAAACCGGAGGAAGGUGGGGAUGACGUCAAAUCAUCAUGCCCCUUAUGACCUGGGCUACACACGUGCUACAAUGGUUGGUACAACGAGUUGCGAGUCGGUGACGGCAAGCUAAUCUCUUAAAGCCAAUCUCAGUUCGGAUUGUAGGCUGCAACUCGCCUACAUGAAGUCGGAAUCGCUAGUAAUCGCGGAUCAGCACGCCGCGGUGAAUACGUUCCCGGGCCU
Molecule: ribosomal RNA, 1370 nt
Filed under: uncultured bacterium
Lineage: Bacteria
Description: bacterial SSU rRNA
Rfam family: Bacterial small subunit ribosomal RNA
Source: RNAcentral